RNAcentral lists this ribosomal RNA (1742 nucleotides) under Klebsiella terrigena. RNAcentral's name for it is "Raoultella terrigena 23S ribosomal RNA". It matches the Rfam family "Bacterial large subunit ribosomal RNA", at positions 1211 to 2925 of the family's 2925-position model. Lineage: Bacteria; Pseudomonadati; Pseudomonadota; Gammaproteobacteria; Enterobacterales; Enterobacteriaceae. The record is from RNAcentral.
ACUCAGGUGUUGUUGGGUAGGGGAGCGUUCUGUAAGCCGUUGAAGGUGGCCUGUGAGGGUUGCUGGAGGUUAUCAGAAGUGCGAAUGCUGACAUAAGUAACGAUAAAGCGGGUGAAAAGCCCGCUCGCCGGAAGACCAAGGGUUCCUGUCCAACGUUAAUCGGGGCAGGGUGAGUCGACCCCUAAGGCGAGGCCGAAAGGCGUAGUCGAUGGGAAACAGGUUAAUAUUCCUGUACUCGGUGUUACUGCGAAGGGGGGACGGAGAAGGCUAUGUUAGCCGGGCGACGGUUGUCCGGUUUAAGCAUGUAGGCGGAGAGUUUAGGUAAAUCCGGACUCUUAUUCAACGCUGAGGUGUGAUGACGAGGCACUACGGUGCUGAAGUAACAAAUGCCCUGCUUCCAGGAAAAGCCUCUAAGCAUCAGGUAACAUCAAAUCGUACCCCAAACCGACACAGGUGGUCAGGUAGAGAAUACCAAGGCGCUUGAGAGAACUCGGGUGAAGGAACUAGGCAAAAUGGUGCCGUAACUUCGGGAGAAGGCACGCUGAUGGUAAGUGAAACGACUUGCUCGUGGAGCUGAAAUCAGUCGAAGAUACCAGCUGGCUGCAACUGUUUAUUAAAAACACAGCACUGUGCAAACACGAAAGUGGACGUAUACGGUGUGACGCCUGCCCGGUGCCGGAAGGUUAAUUGAUGGGGUUAUCCGCAAGGAGAAGCUCUUGAUCGAAGCCCCGGUAAACGGCGGCCGUAACUAUAACGGUCCUAAGGUAGCGAAAUUCCUUGUCGGGUAAGUUCCGACCUGCACGAAUGGCGUAAUGAUGGCCAGGCUGUCUCCACCCGAGACUCAGUGAAAUUGAACUCGCUGUGAAGAUGCAGUGUACCCGCGGCAAGACGGAAAGACCCCGUGAACCUUUACUAUAGCUUGACACUGAACAUUGAGCCUUGAUGUGUAGGAUAGGUGGGAGGCUUUGAAGCGUGGACGCCAGUCUGCGUGGAGCCAACCUUGAAAUACCACCCUUUAAUGUUUGAUGUUCUAACGUAGACCCGUAAUCCGGGUUGCGGACAGUGUCUGGUGGGUAGUUUGACUGGGGCGGUCUCCUCCCAAAGAGUAACGGAGGAGCACGAAGGUUAGCUAAUCCUGGUCGGACAUCAGGAGGUUAGUGCAAUGGCAUAAGCUAGCUUGACUGCGAGCGUGACGGCGCGAGCAGGUGCGAAAGCAGGUCAUAGUGAUCCGGUGGUUCUGAAUGGAAGGGCCAUCGCUCAACGGAUAAAAGGUACUCCGGGGAUAACAGGCUGAUACCGCCCAAGAGUUCAUAUCGACGGCGGUGUUUGGCACCUCGAUGUCGGCUCAUCACAUCCUGGGCUGAAGUAGGUCCCAAGGGUACGGCUGUUCGCCGUUUAAAGUGGUACGCGAGCUGGGUUUAGAACGUCGUGAGACAGUUCGGUCCCUAUCUGCCGUGGGCGCUGGAGAAUUGAGGGGGGCUGCUCCUAGUACGAGAGGACCGGAGUGGACGCCAUCACUGGUGUUCGGGUUUGUCAUGGCCAAUGGCAUUGCCCGGUAGCUAAAUGCGGAAAAGAUAAGUGCUGAAAGCAUCUAAGCACGAAACUUGCCCCGAGAUGAGUUCUCCCUGACUCCUUGAGAGUCCUGAAGGAACGUUGAAGACGACGACGUUGAUAGGUCGGGGUGUGUAAGCGUAGCGAUACGUUGAGCUAACCGAUACUAAUGAACCGUGAGGCUUAACCUU